This 589-nucleotide long non-coding RNA is filed under the name Monodelphis domestica (gray short-tailed opossum). RNAcentral describes it as "lncRNA (ENSMODG00000036134.2)". The record is from RNAcentral. Lineage: Eukaryota; Metazoa; Chordata; Mammalia; Didelphimorphia; Didelphidae.
UUUAUGACACUAUACUAUUGAAAGUAAAAAUAAAAUCCUAUUUCUGGCCAUAGACCUUUGUAUACCAGCAAUCAUAAAAAUAUCAUAUGGUAUUUUUAUAAUUAUUGAAAGCAAGAUUUGAACCUGUGUGACAGAGGUUUGAACUCAAAGUAAAGUGACAGGCUGAAGUGCUGCUGAAUCUUCUCACCUCAGUGGGGGAGGGGCCCCAGGAGGUCUGGAAUUUGGAGAAGCCAGAAGGUUCUGACUGAGAGGCAGUUAUCUCUCUCAAUCUUUAGAAGCCUAGGAGGAAGGGAGGUCUGGUCAAAACUUUCUCCUGAGGAGAUAUUCACCUUUUUCCUCUCCUGGAGACAGGACAUCCUCCCCCUCCACCAAUUCCCAACUGAAGUGAUAGCUGAAGAAGACAUUGAGCCUCUGUUAAACUUACCUCACAGCUCCUGGUGCCUUGGAUCUGAACUGUGCCAGUUGGGUCAAGACCAGGGCAAGAUUAAGGUCCCAUGAGCAUUCUAGAUGAGAAAAGUGGGAGUAGUGGCAUUAGAAUCACAACAGAAGUGGAUCCUGGAGCAAUAAAAGAUGAAAAUGGUACCCUACA